CCUACGGGAGGCAGCAGUGAGGAAUAUUGGUCAAUGGGCGAGAGCCUGAACCAGCCAAGUCGCGUGAGGGAAGACGGUCCUACGGAUUGUAAACCUCUUUUGUCGGGGAGCAAAGAGGCCUCGUGAGGCGACCAGUGAGAGUACCCGGAGAAAAAGCAUCGGCUAACUCCGUGCCAGCAGCCGCGGUAAUACGGAGGAUUCAAGCGUUAUCCGGAUUUAUUGGGUUUAAAGGGUGCGUAGGCGGUUCGUUAAGUUAGAGGUGAAAUCGCGGGGCUCAACCCCGGCCCUGCCUUUGAUACUGGCGGGCUAGAGUUUACGUGAGGUAGGCGGAAUGUAUGGUGUAGCGGUGAAAUGCAUAGAGAUCAUACAGAACACCGAUUGCGAAGGCAGCUUACCAGACUCCGACUGACGUUGAGGCACGAAAGCGUGGGGAGCGAACAGGAUUAGAUACCCGAGUAGUC
RNAcentral lists this ribosomal RNA (461 nucleotides) under uncultured bacterium. Its description in RNAcentral is "partial 16S ribosomal RNA". It matches the Rfam family "Bacterial small subunit ribosomal RNA", at positions 338 to 795 of the family's 1533-position model. The record is from RNAcentral.